GAUGAACGCUGGCGGCGUGCUUAAUACAUGCAAGUCGAACGGAGUGUAGCAAUACACUUAGUGGCGAACGGGCGAGUAACGAGUUGGUGACCUGCCCCGAAGUGUGGGAUAACAGUCCGAAAGGAUUGCUAAUACCUCAUGUGGUUGCCGGGCUUAGAAGCCGGUAACUAAAGCAGUAAUGCGCUUCGGGAGGGACCUGCUUCCCAUCAGCUAGUUGGUGAGGUAACGGCUCACCAAGGCUACGACGGGUAAGGGACCUGAGAGGGUGGUCCCUCGCAAUGGCACUGAAACACGGGCCAUACACCUACGGGUGGCAGCAGUAGGGAAUAUUGGGCAAUGGGCGAAAGCCUGACCCAGCAACGCCGCGUGUGCGAUGAA
RNAcentral lists this ribosomal RNA (378 nucleotides) under uncultured bacterium. RNAcentral describes it as "bacterial SSU rRNA". It matches the Rfam family "Bacterial small subunit ribosomal RNA", at positions 28 to 412 of the family's 1533-position model. The record is from RNAcentral.